RNAcentral lists this ribosomal RNA (450 nucleotides) under uncultured bacterium. RNAcentral's name for it is "partial 16S ribosomal RNA". It matches the Rfam family "Bacterial small subunit ribosomal RNA", at positions 354 to 796 of the family's 1533-position model. The record is from RNAcentral.
GUGGGGAAUAUUGGACAAUGGGCGAAAGCCUGAUCCAGCCAUGCCGCGUGUGUGAAGAAGGUCUUCGGAUUGUAAAGCACUUUAAGUUGGGAGGAAGGGCAGUAAGUUAAUACCUUGCUGUUUUGACGUUACCGACAGAAUAAGCACCGGCUAACUUCGUGCCAGCAGCCGCGGUAAUACGAAGGGUGCAAGCGUUAAUCGGAAUUACUGGGCGUAAAGCGCGCGUAGGUGGUUUUGUAAGUUGGAGGUGAAAUCCCCGGGCUCAACCUGGGAACUGCCUCCAAAACUGCAUGACUAGAGUACGGUAGAGGGUAGUGGAAUUUCCUGUGUAGCGGUGAAAUGCGUAGAUAUAGGAAGGAACACCAGUGGCGAAGGCGACUACCUGGACUGAUACUGACACUGAGGUGCGAAAGCGUGGGGAUCGAACAGGAUUAGAAACCCUUGUAGUCC